CUUUCCAAUCUCACUUAACCUUUGUUUUCCCUGAGCUCCUCUGAAUCAUUGAGCAUGCUGUUCCCACUGCCUACACAUCACUUCCUCAGAGACACCUUUUCCUAGAGACACCUUUUCUCUGAGGUCACCUUUCCUGACCUCAGAGACACCUUUGCUGACCAUCCAGAGACACCUUUUCCUGACCAUCCAGUAUAAAAUAGGUUUCCCAGUUUCCCAGUUAUUCUCUCUCUUAAUUCCCUGUUCAUC
RNAcentral lists this long non-coding RNA (246 nucleotides) under Pan troglodytes (chimpanzee). Its description in RNAcentral is "long non-coding RNA NONPTRT014766". The record is from RNAcentral. Lineage: Eukaryota; Metazoa; Chordata; Mammalia; Primates; Hominidae.